AUGUAUUUGCUUUCUUCACACAAAGAACUGUUUUCACUUGUUUUCUCAUUUGUAUUCUAAACCCUUAAAAUAUAGGGGUUUAUUUUUCUCUUCACAUAGCAGCUAGUACACAAAGGAUUCUUAGAAUGUUGCUGUCUGAAAAUAGUAAAAGGCUAUGUGCAGUGAUAACUAUAUUAAAAUUUUUUCCCCAGGAGUACACUUGUAUUUUGGAGAGUUAAUAAUUGCAGGAAUUUUAGGUGGAUUUUUUUUUUUUUUUCUUUUGUCUUUUUGUUGUUGUUGUUGUUGUUGUUGCUAUUUCUUGGGCCGCUCCCGCGGCAUAUGGAGGUUCCCAGGCUAGGGGUUGAAUCGGAGCUGUAGCCACCGGCCUACGCCAGAGCCACAGCAACACAGGAUCCGAGCUGCGUCUGCAACCUACACCACAGCUCACGGCAACACCGGAUCGUUAACCCACUGAGCAAGGGCAGGAACCGAACCCGCAACCUCAUGGUUCCUAGUCGGAUUCGUUAACCACUGCGCCACGACGGGAACUCCUAGGUGGAUUUUUGACAGUAAUACAGUGCCCACUUGAUUAAAUUUGAAUGUGUUUUAGUUAAUACAAUUUUUAUGUUACUUAUUCAUGUAUAUAAGAUGAUUUGAAAGGCAGGACAGCUAUAAUUUGUUAAGGUACUUUAUGUUUUAAUUUCCACAAAUACCAUGCAAGGUGAGUAUUAUUCCCAUUUUAUAGAUGAGAGAAUUAAAAUUGAGAGUUCCCGUUGUGGCUCAGUGAAAACAAAUCUGACUAGGAACCAUGAGGUUGCAGGUUCAAUCCCUGGCUAGGGGUCGAAUCGGAGCUGUUGCCCACCGGCCUACGCCAGAGCCACAGCAACUCGGGAUCCGAGCCGCGUCUGCAACCUACACUACAGCUCACGGCAACGCCGGAUCGUUAACCCACUGAGCAAGGGCAGGGACCGAACCCACAACCUCAUCGUUCCUAGUCGGAUUCGUUAACCACUGCGCCAUGACGGGAACUCCCCAAGCACAGAUUCUUAAAAAAACAAUGUAUAUACAUGUCAGGAUUUUUUUAAUGCCAGAUUUUGUAGAUCUGAUAUCAUAUUUAAAAAAACAAUUUUUCAUACCAAGAGGGAUACUCCAGGUGUGUGUUGUUCAUGAGUUGUGUUAAGAGAACAUUUUUUUUUUUCCUACUUGCUGUCCUUAGGAAAGUGAGAAUUAUGUCUAUCUGUUCCGUCUCUCUACCUAUUUGUUGAGUGAAAGAAUGAGUGAGUAGAUGAAUGAAGGACCAAAGAUAGGAUAUAAAUGAUUUCUUCUGCAUCUCCUUAGAACCUGCUAUCAGGGAUCUUUUCAAGCUAUAGUAUAAUUACUGCUUUAUCUUUUUGUUUUUUUACUACCCUGUUACCUUGUGAGCAGAAUUACUCUAAUUAUCCUAAAGUACUCAGGAACUUUUUAUUAAGUAAAUGAAUGGCAUAUUGGUAGAAAUUGCUGAAAUACAUUUGGUAAAUAUUUUUAGAAUUGAAUAACAUUUUUUGAGAUUUGAAUUAUAAUUGAUUGCCAUUAUUGCUCAGCUGUGUCGCUUUCAACUCAGAGCCUUAGUUUCUUUACCCAUAAAAUGAAUGCUUGGACUUGAGAAGUUGCUUCUGUCAGUUUUUAGAUUUUGAUGCUUUUAUUUUAUUUUUUCCUUUUAAGGGCUGCACCCAUAGCAUAUGGAACUUCCCAGGCUAGGGGUCGAAUCAGCCUCAUCUGCUAGCCUGUACCACAGUCACAGCAAUGCCAGAUCCAAGUUGUGUCUGCGACCUACACCACAGCUCACAGCAACACUGGAUCUUUGGUCCACUGAGCAGGGCCUAGGAUUGAACCUGCAUCCUUAUAGAUAUUAGUUGGGUUCUUAACCUGCUGAGCCAUGACAGGAACCCCUUGAUGAUUUUAAAUACCAAAUGAGUAAAUAUUAAUUUAGAGAAGGAAAAGGAUUAUUAUGGGGUGUGAGGUUUGGAAAAGCUUAUCGGAGAUUAGUCCUGAGUGGUACUUAAAGUGAUGCGACAGGGAGGGUGGUGGUUUGGCAUUCAGAGUAAAAGGGGAAAAAAUACUGAAAGGGUAAAAUUUCAUGUGAGGUUAUCGGGGUAGGAAUAUGCAAACUACAUGUGGACUGCAGUGACUAGAUGAAUCUAGCAUGGUGAUAUGGUGCGAGAGUCAUGGGAAGUUAGCUUGAAGAUAUAGGAUGGGCACAGCCUUAAGAGCUGUGGAUAUCAGUUUGUUUUUUAUUCCUUAAGGGUAUUGACAAAAAUAGUCAAUACACAAGCCGUAAGAGAAAUAGAAAAGUUUCAGUUGAGCCAAACUGAAGACUAUAGUCUGGAAGACGGCCUGUCAGAUAACUCAGACCUGCUCUGGAGGAGCACGGUUUUCAGCACAGGUUUAUAUCUUGUCAGAAGAAAGACUAUCAAACAAGUCAGGGAUACAUGGCUUCAAGUUUAAAAAAAAACAACAAAAACAGAUCAGCACAUGCAGCAAGUCACUGAGGCCUUAGCACCUGGGAAGGGGGGUCUGUCUUCAAAGGAACACCCACACUGGUGUCUCAGAACAGAGGCACUUCAUCUUUAUCUUUGAUAUAGAAGUUCUUUACUUCCGGUCAUCGUGCCUUUUUCUUUAAUAGUUAAAGCAUGUGUACAAUGUAUGUUUGGUAGGCCCCAAGCAGGUGAUUUUAGUUAGCAUAAAAUUUGAAUUGACUCAUGUGUAAGCCAGAAUGACUUCCCCAUACCUCGGUGUGUGAAAAUUUAUCAAGGCACAAGGAGCUUUUGGAGUUUAUUUUUUUUAAGGAAGAUAACCAGCUGGACAAAGAGAAGCAAGGAAAUCAGUUGCAGAGCCAUCGCAGGAAUCUAGACAUGAGGUGACGGGUGUCAUGAGCAUGGUGGAGGCAGUGGCAGUAGAGUGACGGGAAGGAGAAUGGAGCCAACAUUGUGUGGUGCUUACCGUGGGGUCAGACAUUUUGCUAAUUACUUUUUAAUUACAAGGUCACUUUUUCCUUGUAACCACCCUGCAGGGUGAGCGUCCUGGUUACCUACUGCAUAACAUAGUCCUCCAAACAUAGAGCCUUAAAACAGCACACAUUGGAGUUCGCAUCAUGGCGCAGUGGUUAACGACUAGGAACCAUGAGGUUGCAGGUUUGAUCCCUGGCCUUGCUCAGUGGGUUAAGGAUCUGGCGUUGCCAUGAGCUGUGGUGUAGGUUGCAGACCUGGCUCGAUCCCGUGUUGUUCUGGCUGUGGCAUAGACUGGCGGCUACAGUUCUGAUUAGACCCCUAGCUUGGGAACCUCCAUAUGCUGCGGGAAGCGGCCCUAGAAAAGGCAAAAAGAAAAAAAGAAAAAGCACACAUUGAUUAUCUCACAUUUUCAACACGCCGGAGAUCUGAUCGCAUGGGCUCUCCAUACAGGCUUAGGUAGACCCUCCAGCUCAGAGUCACUCUCAAGGCUGCAGUCAUCUCAAGGCUUGACUGGGAAAGAUGGGCCUCCCUGCUCACUCAUGUGCUUCUUGGCAGGAGUCAGUUCCUCCUGAGAUGUUGGACUGAGGCCUCCAUCCUUCCCUCCCUUUCUGGCCAUGUCGGCCUCUUCCUCGGGCAGCUCACGGCUUGGCGUGUCUGGCUUCAGCAGGGCCAGCAAGGAAGAGGGCAAGAGAGUGACAGCCAGGUAGAGUGCCAUCAAGAGGCAGAGGAGGGAGGGGGGAUGUGGGGGAGUGCGAGUGAGAUGGACACCAGUCUUCUAACCUAAUCACUUUUCUGUAUUUUGUUCAUUGAAGGCAAGUCACCAGAUCCACCCUACACCCAAGGACGGGGUGAAACUGUCCAGUGUAUCAAGCGUAAUAUGGAGAAUAGCAGAUAGGCUGGAGAGGUAGACAGGGAGGGCGUCUAUAGCAGGCAGCCCUUUUUGACGCCGGGGGAGUAAAGCAUGUUUCAUUUUGCAAGAGGAAAGUAGAUACGUGAUAACUGUCCAUUUUGAUUUUUAAACUCCAAACUUCUGCAUUCCUCCUGGAAAUGGAAUUACCUUAAAGAGAGGAAACAGACUGUGCUCAUUUUCCUUUUGUUAUGUCUGGGAUAUUUCUAGCCUCCCUUGCACAUAAGAAAAUCAUUGUUAGUUUCACACAAUUUAACUUUAUGACAAGAUUCUGUUGCAAGACACUUCUGGAAAAUGUCCCAGACAAACACUGUCUCUGCAUAGCUGCAGAGAGACUGCUAUCACCACAAAGGAAAAGUAGGGAAAGUGAUUCUUGCCCUGGAGGAUUUACAAAGCAGCAGUUAGGCUUUCAACUGUUAGUUUGCUUCCUUUAAGAUACCCCCGCCCAUUCCUACCACUAUUCUCUCAUCAUCUACACAGAAGUAUUAAUCAUUAAAAAAGAGACUUAGAGCACUGUUCUUUCCCUUUCCUGUCCUGGUUGUUGGCUCAAGAAAUGACAUUACAGGUACUUAUUCUUUUUUUUUUUUUUUGGUCUUUUCUGGGGCCGAAGCCACGGCACAUAGAGGUUCCCAGGAGAGGGGUCUAAUUGGAGCUGUAGCUGCCGACCUACACCACAGCCACAGCAACGUGGGAUCUGAGCUGUGUCUGUGACCUACACCACAGCUCAUGGCAACGCUGGAUCCUUAACCCACUGAGUGAGGCCAGGGAUCAAACCUUUGUCCUCAUGGAUACUAGUCAGUUUUGUUUCUGCUGAGCCGAGAGGGGAACUCCCCUGGCGCUUUUUAAAAAAGUGCUUCAGCUUAACUUUUUUUUUUUUUUUUGGCCUUUUUUUGCCUUUUCUAGGGCUGCUCCUGUGGCAUAUGGAGAUUCCCAGGCUUGGGGUCCAAUCAGAGCUGUAGCCUCAAGCCUAUGCCAGAGCCACAGCAAUGCUGGAUCCAAGCAGCCUCUGUGACCUACACCACAGCUCACCGCAACACUGGAUCGUUAGCCCACUGAGCAAGGGCAGGGACCGAACCCACAACCUCAUGGUUCCUAGUCGGGUUCGUUAACCACUGCGCCACAACAGGAACUCCAAAAAGUGCUUCAGCUUAGAGACCAGCGACCACGAGAUGAAAUAAAAUUACCUAAGUCUUCCUCCAAACAUGUUUAUCUGGCCAGCUUUAUCUUUGGUAAAAUUUGUUUUAGUCCUCAGCUACUAAUUUAAGCACAGAAAAGCUAGAAUUCGGAAUCCAGGGUCUUUGAGUCAAUUGCCGUCCUCACGACCACACGGCUGUUUGUGAGCAUCUCUCCCUUGGCCUCGCUAAGGUCCUUCCUUUAUGGCAGGACGAACAGUGUAAAUUGGAGGGUGAUUUUUCUCCCAGCUCAUGGGAGGAUAGGUUUAACCCCAGGCAGAGAGGCCUCAGCGUUCUUUCAAGGAAGGCAUUUUAUCAUUUCCAUCUGGCUCAGCCUAGGACCAAGGUUGCUGGUGGUGCAGAGCUUACAGAUCUGUGGCGACACGGAGGCAAUAUGUGUUUUUCAGCAAACAAGGGACUGAUUUGUUGCCAUAAUAAUUUUCAGUAAUUCCCAAGGUACUAGGGAGAACAUCACGGCUCCUUUCUUGAAGGAGAAAACUGUUCAGAAAAGGAGACGUGGCUGUGGCUGCGGUGUAGGCUGGCAAUCAGCUGUAGCUCCAAUCAGACCCCUGGUCUGGGAACCUCCACAUGCUGCUAGUGUAGCCCUAAAAAGCAAAAAAAAAAAAAAAAAAA
Molecule: long non-coding RNA, 5678 nt
Filed under: Sus scrofa (pig)
Lineage: Eukaryota; Metazoa; Chordata; Mammalia; Artiodactyla; Suidae
Description: lncRNA (ENSSSCG00035028888.1)
Source: RNAcentral